UAAAUGGGUUAUAUACUCUCUUUCUUUCCCUCCUCGUAUUUCUGCUUGAACGGAACAGCUUUAUUAGCCCGUACCAGUUAGUGUGUGUGUGUGAGAGAGAGAGCGAGAGGGAGAGAGAGAGAGAGAGAAGUGUGAAUCCCAUUUUCAUUUUUCACUGGUAGUUGGUCAAUAAAAUAUCAGGGAAUCAUCUUACCUCGUGUGUCUCGACUAUUCUCGAUUCCUGCACUCCUGCUGCAGGUACAGGAUUACGAUCCAUUUUAGAUUCUCUUGGAAACUCGUCGAUGAUUUUACUUCUGCUUCUCUCAGGUUACAAAUUUGGAUAUUGCUCCUGAGAAAUUCGUGGUGGUUUCCAAGUGCGAGCUUUCGGCGUUGGGUACUAAGAGCGUACCAAAGUAAGAUUUACAGUGACGGUUUCGUGAGCACAAGUCUAGAAGCGAGACCCAAAGGGUAGUGGCAAUAUCAAUUUAACAAAUGCAAAGUGAUGGUUCGGAUGGAAGUGGUAUCGCGCUUGGCGCUAACCCAAGUCCAACUAAUCCAACUCACCUCGAGAAACAAAGGAACAAGCAGAAUACAGCUCAGGAUCAGCAGGAGGGAGGAGCCCAAAGUUCAUUGGGAGCGUCUGCGGGCAACGGUGAUCCGACGAUUCUUACCGUUGUGAUCUCCAAUGAGGAAUCGCGUGCUCAGGUCCCUAUGAUUCCAGAGCUCAAUAGUCAUGACUUGAAGACUGUGAGCACCGGCAUGGAUGAAAUAACUGAUCUGGCCACUCCUAAGAAAGAUUGCUUGUCAAGAAGCGAAAGUUCUCACGAACAAUGCAGGUAUUUGGUCUUUCUGUUGCUCUAUUGCUAAGGCACAUGGUGUUAUUAAAUAGAAUUCGGGUGUAUAUCUGCAGUGCUAUCCUUUGAUGCUAUUAUUCCUCCCUACCAUCCCUCAGAUUUUUCUUCCCCCUCGUGUUCACUUUUCUCAUGCCAGGAUCCAUGGAGUACAACCCUCUACGUUGUAGUUGGAACUCAUUGUAUCUGCUGUCAUCGAUUUAUUUACUUUCCUUUU
Long non-coding RNA from Macadamia integrifolia, 1047 nucleotides. RefSeq lists it as uncharacterized. The transcript has 3 exons. The record is from RefSeq and is a predicted model, not a curated record. NCBI's taxonomy places the organism in Eukaryota, Viridiplantae, Streptophyta, Magnoliopsida, Proteales, Proteaceae.